This is a long non-coding RNA of Oryzias melastigma (Indian medaka), 250 nucleotides long. RefSeq lists it as uncharacterized. The record is from RefSeq and is a predicted model, not a curated record. The transcript has 2 exons. Lineage: Eukaryota; Metazoa; Chordata; Actinopteri; Beloniformes; Adrianichthyidae.
UGGUCCUUUAGAAAAUGCAAAAAAAGACAGUAUUAUCAUUGGUGAAUAAAUUAAAAAACAUACAUUUCCUUUUUCUAUAACAAAACCUAAACAACAAUUGCACUUUAACACCUAAACUCAAAUUCAUAAAUGCUCAGUAAAAGAAUUUUAGAUUUCGAACAUACUUGCCAAAUAAUCAUGUCUUACUAAAGGAGCACACAGCAAAAGGUUAAGUAGGAAUACAAAUUAAAACAGUUAAUUAAAAAAAAAA